AAAGCCUCUAAGCAUCAGGUAACAUCAAAUCGUACCCCAAACCGACACAGGUGGUCAGGUAGAGAAUACCAAGGCGCUUGAGAGAACUCGGGUGAAGGAACUAGGCAAAAUGGUGCCGUAACUUCGGGAGAAGGCACGCUGAUAUGUAGGUGAAGCGACUUGCUCGUGGAGCUGAAAUCAGUCGAAGAUACCAGCUGGCUGCAACUGUUUAUUAAAAACACAGCACUGUGCAAACACGAAAGUGGACGUAUACGGUGUGACGCCUGCCCGGUGCCGGAAGGUUAAUUGAUGGGGUUAGCGGUAACGCGAAGCUCUUGAUCGAAGCCCCGGUAAACGGCGGCCGUAACUAUAACGGUCCUAAGGUAGCGAAAUUCCUUGUCGGGUAAGUUCCGACCUGCACGAAUGGCGUAAUGAUGGCCAGGCUGUCUCCACCCGAGACUCAGUGAAAUUGAACUCGCUGUGAAGAUGCAGUGUACCCGCGGCAAGACGGAAAGACCCCGUGAACCUUUACUAUAGCUUGACACUGAACAUUGAGCCUUGAUGUGUAGGAUAGGUGGGAGGCUUUGAAGUGUGGACGCCAGUCUGCAUGGAGCCGACCUUGAAAUACCACCCUUUAAUGUUUGAUGUUCUAACGUUGGCCCCUAAUCGGGGUUGCGGACAGUGUCUGGUGGGUAGUUUGACUGGGGCGGUCUCCUCCUAAAGAGUAACGGAGGAGCACGAAGGUUGGCUAAUCCUGGUCGGACAUCAGGAGGUUAGUGCAAUGGCAUAAGCCAGCUUGACUGCGAGCGUGACGGCGCGAGCAGGUGCGAAAGCAGGUCAUAGUGAUCCGGUGGUUCUGAAUGGAAGGGCCAUCGCUCAACGGAUAAAAGGUACUCCGGGGAUAACAGGCUGAUACCGCCCAAGAGUUCAUAUCGACGGCGGUGUUUGGCACCUCGAUGUCGGCUCAUCACAUCCUGGGGCUGAAGUAGGUCCCAAGGGUAUGGCUGUUCGCCAUUUAAAGUGGUACGCGAGCUGGGUUUAGAACGUCGUGAGACAGUUCGGUCCCUAUCUGCCGUGGGCGCUGGAGAACUGAGGGGGGCUGCUCCUAGUACGAGAGGACCGGAGUGGACGCAUCACUGGUGUUCGGGUUGUCAUGCCAAUGGCACUGCCCGGUAGCUAAAUGCGGAAGAGAUAAGUGCUGAAAGCAUCUAAGCACGAAACUUGCCCCGAGAUGAGUUCUCCCUGACUCCUUGAGGGUCCUGAAGGAACGUUGAAGACGACGACGUUGAUAGGCCGGGUGUGUAAGCGCAGCGAUGCGUUGAGCUAACCGGUACUAAUGAACCGUGAGGCUUAACCUUACAACGCCGAAG
RNAcentral lists this ribosomal RNA (1349 nucleotides) under Escherichia coli. Its description in RNAcentral is "partial 23S ribosomal RNA". It matches the Rfam family "Bacterial large subunit ribosomal RNA", at positions 1614 to 2925 of the family's 2925-position model. Lineage: Bacteria; Pseudomonadati; Pseudomonadota; Gammaproteobacteria; Enterobacterales; Enterobacteriaceae. The record is from RNAcentral.